Molecule: non-coding RNA, 107 nt
Organism: Devosia sp. 67-54
Lineage: Bacteria; Pseudomonadati; Pseudomonadota; Alphaproteobacteria; Hyphomicrobiales; Devosiaceae
Source: Rfam
AUGCGGCGCGCGUCAACCGGACGCGGCGGCAAGGGAAAUGGCGCGAUUUUUCCGGUUUCUCGCGCCGGCCAACGAAACGGCAGACGAGUCCAUGUCCCGCCCGCGCU